This 459-nucleotide ribosomal RNA is filed under the name uncultured bacterium. RNAcentral's name for it is "partial 16S ribosomal RNA". It matches the Rfam family "Bacterial small subunit ribosomal RNA", at positions 338 to 795 of the family's 1533-position model. The record is from RNAcentral.
CCUACGGGAGGCAGCAGUGAGGAAUAUUGGUCAAUGGUCGGGAGACUGAACCAGCCAAGCCGCGUGAGGGAUGAAGGUACAGAGUAUCGUAAACCUCUGUUGUCAGGGAACAAAGGCGGGGACGUGUCCCCGGAUGAGUGUACCUGAAGAAAAAGCAUCGGCUAACUCCGUGCCAGCAGCCGCGGAAAUACGGAGGAUGCGAGCGUUAUCCGGAUUUAUUGGGUUUAAAGGGUGCGCAGGCGGUCUGUUAAGUCAGCGGACAAAGCCCGGGGCUCAACCCCGGCCCGCCGUUGAAACUGGCAGUCUCGAGUUGGAGAGAAGUAAGCGGAAUGCGCGGUGUAGCGGGGAAAUGCAUAGAUAUCGCGAAGAACUCCGAUUGCGAAUGCAGCAUGCCGGAUCCACACUGACGCUGAGGCACCAAAGCGUGGGUAUCGAACAGGAUUAGAUACCCUAGUAGUC